CACUUUUCCUGUAUUCAUUAAUUUGAUACUUAUAAUGACAUUGUGAAUUAUAUGCCAUUAUUUCUAUUUUACAGAUGCAGAAACUGAGGCACGGAGAGGGUUAAAUAGCCUGUGAAAUACAACCUAACCCGAACCAGGAUGUGAAUUUAAGCAACUCUACUCAAGGUUUCUGCUCAUAAAUUAGAUAUUGAGAAGAUGACGUGGCUCACUCUAGCGAGCCUGAGAAACCCCGAAAUAACCAAGCCACUCAAAUGACGUCAAGAACUGAUAGGAACGAACAGAUGGCUCUGAUAGCAUUUCAAAGUGUUGUGUUUUUGUUAUGUUCAGAAGAGGAGGAAAGAAAAAUCUCGAGUAGAAAUCAUAAAUAUUAGCUUUAGUUAACCAAUUAUUUUUAUAAUGAAGUUAGUAUUUGGCCAUCUGGAUGAAAUCAUACUGCAAAGGAUGGCAAGGCACCUGGGACAAAGGGAGGGAGGCAGAACCAACAGCUCUGAGGAAAAUCACCUCCSGGAUUCUAGUACACAAGAACCCUCCCUCCCAGGAAAUUGUUAAAGAGAGAAGGAAAGCAGGGGCCUGGAGAGACCGCCCCCACAGAGACAAAAAGAGCAGCAUCCGGACGAGUGGUACCGCAGUGCAGGUUUUCUAGAUGAAUAUUUGGAUGCUCUCUACAGAAUGGGGAUGACAGAGAACCAUGGAAGAAUUCUUUUCUGUUAGAGCCAAGAAAUGAAUGAAGCUCUGGUCUCCCAUGCUGCAGAUCAUGAGGCACCAGCACUCCUGAGCUGACCUGGCUACUUUUGCCCUACUUUCUAUUAGUCUUCUGAUGGUGGAGGCAACGGGUUAUUUUAAGAGGAAAGAGAAAAAUGAGUAGAGACCGUUCUUGUGGACUACAGAAAGAGUAUCCAAACAAGUUACUCAUGGGGAAGAAAUCAUCCUUCAAACAAUAUCUUAGCUGCCAUCUAACUCAAACUUCAUUGGCAUGAUCAUGAUCAUUUUUCAAAUGAAGAAACUGGUUUCCAAGACAGUACGAUGGCUUUCCUCUUGGUGACCUAGUGGCAGAGUUAGACUGAGAUCCCAGAUUUCGUUCUAGGACUUUUUUCCCUUCAAACUGGGGUUGGCAUACUAUGGCCAUUGGCCAGAUCAUGAGCCAAGAAUGUGUUUUUGUUUGUUUGUUUAUUUGUUUGUUUUUAAAUGUUUGAAAACAAAAUUAAACAAAUAACUGUACUUUGUACACAAAAAAUUAUAUGAAAUUCAAAUUUCAGUGUCAAUGAAGUUUCAUGCAAUACAAUCACCCUCAUUCAUUUACAUAUUGUUUAUGGCUGUUCUCAUGCUAAAAGGGCAGUAAUCAUUUAGCUGUGACAGAAAUUUUUAUGGCCCUCACAACCUAAAAUAUUUUUAUUUCAACAUUUACAGGAAACAUUUGCAGAUAUCUGUACUAAAGCAUAUUUCUCCUAUGCAUGGGAAAUAGGGUUAGAAGUCAAAAAAGGAAAUGAGGUAUCUUUAAGGUGCUUAAUUUUAAAAGUUCAGCUCUGUGCUUUGAAUGGCUUGCUCACAAAAUCCACACUGUUCCUCUCACAUACCCAGAGGCAGUCACUCCCCUCUCACUCCAAUGGGAAAGCUAAUAAUGAGAGUGUUAAUUGUGUUUCUGG
RNAcentral lists this long non-coding RNA (1643 nucleotides) under Urocitellus parryii (Arctic ground squirrel). Its description in RNAcentral is "lncRNA (ENSUPAG00010020273.1)". The record is from RNAcentral. Lineage: Eukaryota; Metazoa; Chordata; Mammalia; Rodentia; Sciuridae.